CCUAAGACCCGUCGCCGACGCCGCCGCCGCCGCCGCUGCCACCACCGAUCACAGUUAUACAAUGCAAUACAGGGUCGUCGGUUUGUUGUAUAUAUCGGAUGGAUGAUCAAAUUGAUUGGAUUGUUGUUGAGUUUAGUGAUGAUACUAGUAUUGAAGUGGUACCUAACUUUUGGUUUAAAAAUAAUUCUCGUGCUUGGCCUAAAGCUUCUAAGCAAGCAAAGAGAUAUAUCCAAAAACGAAUUAAACCUAUUACAAAUGACUUCUUAUUUUUUAAGUCUAGACAAAUUGGACAUAAAGUUCAUAGUUCAUAAAGCGAAGCAAAAAAAAAAUUACCCUUGGCUAUGCGGAAAUCUGACUUGUCAAGUGCUGAUGAAAUUAUCGAUUGGAUGAGAAGAAGGAAGAAAAAAUACCCUAAUAGAGAUCAAAGUUUGUCUCCUAAUUUAUAAUUAUACAAUUGUGAAAUCAACAAAAUUAAAAGUUGAAAACUCAAAAAAAAAAACAAAAUUAUACAAUCUUCUGAAAGCUGUCCUCCUCAUUAUAAUGAUAUUUCUCAAUCAAUUCAUUCAAAAGAGGAAAAAAAUAUUUUUGAUAUUUCUGAUGACUCUGACUCUAAUAAUGAUAUAGUAUACAAUUCAGACAAAGAUCAUAUUGACAAAGGCCAAAGUAA
Metopolophium dirhodum (rose-grain aphid) is the source of this 667-nucleotide long non-coding RNA. RefSeq lists it as uncharacterized. Lineage: Eukaryota; Metazoa; Arthropoda; Insecta; Hemiptera; Aphididae. The transcript is spliced from 4 exons. The record is from RefSeq and is a predicted model, not a curated record.